GCCGGUCUGAAUUUCUGAAGUACAAAUAGGGUGUGAACAUGGGACUAGCCCAGCAGUUGAUGAGCUGGCAGUAUCAAAGUAAUUGAGCUGAAUUCCAAGGGCACUGGAUUGUGGGCAAUUUCUGCAGGAACUGCAGGUAACCCACAAGACAUCGCUUCCUGUAUCAAUCUGCACAGUGAAUUCUCUGGGAGGAGAGCCGAGCUUCACUUUUGUAAAAUACAGUAAGGGCGUUGAAGAUCCAUCGACCCCGACGAGAUAGGGAUCGGGAGAGCCUUGGACUGAGAAGUCGACGACGCCGCCAACAAAGCUCUGCAAGAGGCGGGCAUGCCUGACACUGUCCCGAGCCCUGAGUUGGUCGAGUCCGAGUGUGUGGUUCAAAGGAAAAGCCCUGUGGAGAGGGAGAAAAGUAGCACAAUAAACCAACGACAUAGGCAGUAGACUAGCUGCCAGGAUCAAGAACGGCCAGAGCGGCCGCAUUUUGAGUUCUUGAAGUUUAAGAGGCGGUUUCUUUAAAGAAAGAGCUCAGGGUAGUGGUGGCUACGGUGGUUCUUUCUUUUAUGCAUUGAGAGAGAACAGUAAGGGAGGGAGAAGAGAUGGAGUGGACCGUGACCAGAAACAACGGGACAGAAAUGACACGAGAGAGAGAGAGAGAGAGAGAGAG
Molecule: unclassified non-coding RNA, 661 nt
Filed under: Hevea brasiliensis (rubber tree)
Lineage: Eukaryota; Viridiplantae; Streptophyta; Magnoliopsida; Malpighiales; Euphorbiaceae
Source: RNAcentral